Molecule: long non-coding RNA, 118 nt
Organism: Bradysia coprophila
Lineage: Eukaryota; Metazoa; Arthropoda; Insecta; Diptera; Sciaridae
Source: RefSeq, a predicted model, not a curated record
CGGAAAUGUUACACCCAAAAUUAUCAUACGAACUCGUGUGGAUGUGGUUCUUUUAAAAAUUCGAAUUGAAAACGACUUACAUGUGUGUCAUAGCUUGUGCUGAGUAGUGAUUUAUCAU